UGGUGAAUAUUGGACAAUGGGCGCAAGCCUGAUCCAGCAAUGCCGCGUGCCGGAUGAAGGCCUUCGGGUUGUAAACUGCUUUUGUACGGAACGAAAAAGCUUCUCCUAAUACGAGGCGCCCAUGACGUUACCGUAAGAAUAAGCACCGGCUAACUACGUGCCAGCAGCCGCGGUAAUACGUAGGGUGCGAGCGUUAAUCGGAAUUACUGGGCGUAAAGCGUGCGCAGGCGGUUAUGUAAGACAGUUGUGAAAUCCCCGGGCUCAACCUGGGAAUUGCAUCUGUGACUGCAUAGCUAGAGUACGGUAGAGGGGGAUGGAAUUCCGGGUGUAGCAGUGAAAUGCGUAAAUAUGCGGAGGAACACCGAUGGCGAAGGCAAUCCCCUGGACCUAUACUGACGCUCAUGCACGAAAGCGUGGGGAGCAAACA
Molecule: ribosomal RNA, 427 nt
Filed under: uncultured bacterium
Lineage: Bacteria
Description: bacterial SSU rRNA
Rfam family: Bacterial small subunit ribosomal RNA
Source: RNAcentral